RNAcentral lists this ribosomal RNA (393 nucleotides) under uncultured bacterium. Its description in RNAcentral is "bacterial SSU rRNA". It matches the Rfam family "Bacterial small subunit ribosomal RNA", at positions 971 to 1425 of the family's 1533-position model. The record is from RNAcentral.
UUACCAGUCUGACAUAAAAGAGAUCCGCAAGGGACAGGUGGUGCAUGGCUGUCGUCAGCUCGUGUCGUGAGAUGUUGGGUUAAGUCCCGCAACGAGCGCAACCCUAUCAAUGUUGCCAGCAUAUGGGACUCAUUGAGACUGCCGGGUUAAUCGGAGGAAGGUGGGGAUGACGUCAAGUCCUCAUGCCCCUUAUGCUGGGCUGCAAACACGCUACAAUGGGAUACAAGGGGCUUCGCGAGAUUAGCAAUCCCGAAAUCGUCUCAGUUCGAAUUGAAGUCUGCAACUCGACUUCAUGAAGCUGGAGUUGCUAGUAAUCCCGAUCAGCACGCGGGGUGAAUACGUUCCCGGGCCUUGUACACACCGCCCGUCACACCACGAAAGUCGGAAACCGAA